RNAcentral lists this long non-coding RNA (522 nucleotides) under Homo sapiens (human). RNAcentral describes it as "HSALNT0139149". The record is from RNAcentral. Lineage: Eukaryota; Metazoa; Chordata; Mammalia; Primates; Hominidae.
CAGAUACCAAAGGAAAACCAACUUCUCGGACACAGGUGUAUAAGCCACCCGCACUUAAAAAGUCAAAUUCUCCUGGAACUGCAUCAUCAGGAUCUUCACGAUUACCGCAGCCAAGUGGCGCUGGCAAAACUGUUGUAGGUGUUCCUUCAGGUAAAGUGUCUUCAAGUAGCAGCUCUUUGGGAAACAAACUUCAGACCUUAUCUCCCUCUCAUAAAGGGAUAGCAGCCCCUCAUGCAGGAGCUAAUGUCAAACCCCGAAAUUCCACACCACCUAGUUUGGCAAGAAAUCCUGCCCCAGGUGUGCUUACAAACAAAAGAAAAACAUAUACUGAGAGCUACAUAGCCAGGCCAGAUGGGGACUGUGCAUCUUCCCUUAAUGGUGGAAAUAUUAAAGGCAUUGAAGGACAUUCACCUGGAAACUUACCAAAAUUCUGCCAUGAGUGUGGGACUAAAUACCCUGUAGAAUGGGCCAAAUUUUGCUGUGAAUGUGGCAUUCGAAGAAUGAUUCUAUGAAUAGAAUCUC